AUCGCUUCUCGGCCUUUUGGCUAAGAUCAAGUGUAGUAUCUGUUCUUAUCAGUUUAAUAUCUGAUACGUCCCCUACCCGGGGACUGCAUAUUAAAUUGAUUUUUGGACCACGGAGCUGGAGCCGGGGCUUGCUCCGUCCACUCCAAACAUCGGCCUGGUUGCAGUGCAGUGUUUCCAGGAACGGUGUGCUUCUC
Molecule: small nuclear RNA, 194 nt
Organism: Puntigrus tetrazona (Sumatra barb)
Lineage: Eukaryota; Metazoa; Chordata; Actinopteri; Cypriniformes; Cyprinidae
Product: U2 spliceosomal RNA
Exons: 1
Source: RefSeq, a predicted model, not a curated record